UUUUUUUUUUUUUGCUUGUUUUUUUACAAUUGUUUUGAUGUUGCGAGGAUAAACAAUUUUGACUAGUUGACUGAUGGAAUAUACUACUUUAAUAGUAUGCCAAACUCACCAUUAAAUCUCCACGUAUCCAACUGUUAAGGUAUGGAGCCAUGCAUUAAAUGUUGCUCUUGAUUAAUUUUAUUGGGUUUACGUUGUAUCUAGUACGAGAAAUAUUGCCAUUUAUUUAUAUUCUUUUUCAUGUUAGGAACGAGUAGAUGACAGUCGAUUUAAUUGAUGGACUGCGCAAAAAGGGAUGCCUGGGUCGUAAGUCAAUUCCUCUAUUAUCAAGAUUCAAACCCCAUUAAGGUUAGGGUAUGAAAUCAUGCAUUAAAUUUGUUCCUCUCUCAAUAUAUGUAUAAUAUAGUUGUUGUAGGUACCUGAUUUGAUUUGGGAGUGCUCCUGACUGUAACGAGCCUAGGAGUUGCUGAUACUUGUCCUUUUCGUAGGUAUCAAUAUCCUUGUGGAUCUAGUAGUUUAUUCAUUCAGGUUCUAUAAUCACGUAAGCGAGAUGGAUUUACUAUACAUACGAAUAAUACGAGCAUCGAUCUAUACUUCGAUAUUCCUUUUGUAUUUUUGUGUAAGUUGUUUGACUUUUUUUUUCAAUAGUUUGAUUUUGCGAGGGAUCUGGCACAUUUGACUAGUGACUUUAUUGGAUAUACUACUUUAAUAGUAUGCAAACUCACAAUGAAAAUUCACAUCUCCAAAUGGUAAGGUAGGAGCCAUGCAUUAAAUGUUGCUCUUGAUUAAUUUAAUAGGUUGUGGAUCUAGGUACGAGAAAUAUGCCUUAUUUAUUCUUGUCUUGCUUAGAAUGACUAGAUAACCAUAAGAUUUGAUUGGAUGACUGCGUGAACGGGAGCCUUGGUCUUAAGUAAAUCCUCUUUUUCAAGAUUUACACCUAAGGGUUAUUUUUUUUUUUUUUUUUUUUUUUUUUUUUUUUUUUUUUUUUUUUUUUUUUUUUUUUUUUUUUUUUUUUUUUUUUUUUUUUUUUUUUUUUUUUUUUUUUUUUUUUUUUUUGUUUUUUUUCUUUUUUUUUUUUUUUUUUUCUUUCUUUUUUUUUUUUUUUUUUUUUGUUUUUUUUUUUUUUUUU
RNAcentral lists this long non-coding RNA (1126 nucleotides) under Actinidia chinensis (golden kiwifruit). Its description in RNAcentral is "long non-coding RNA (ACHI_LNC000559)". The record is from RNAcentral. Lineage: Eukaryota; Viridiplantae; Streptophyta; Magnoliopsida; Ericales; Actinidiaceae.